Molecule: ribosomal RNA, 449 nt
Filed under: uncultured bacterium
Lineage: Bacteria
Description: bacterial SSU rRNA
Rfam family: Bacterial small subunit ribosomal RNA
Source: RNAcentral
GCCAGACUCCUACGGGAGGCAGCAGUGGGGAAUAUUGGGCAAUGGGCGCAAGCCUGACCCAGCAAUGCCGCGUGAAGGAAGAAGGCUUUCGGGUUGUAAACUUCUUUGACAGGGGAAGAGCAGAAGACGGUACCCUGAAAACAAGCCACGGCUAACUACGUGCCAGCAGCCGCGGUAAUACGUAGGGGGCAAGCGUUAUCCGGAUUUACUGGGUGUAAAGGGGGCGCAGACGGCGAUGCAAGCCAGGAGUGAAAGCCCGGGGCCCAACCCCGGGACUGCUCUUGGAACUGCGUGGCUGGAGUGCAGGAGGGGCAGGCGGAAUUCCUGGUGUAGCGGUGAAAUGCGUAGAUAUCAGGAGGAACACCGGUGGCGAAGGCGGCCUGCUGGACUGCAACUGACGUUGAGGCCCGAAAGCGUGGGGAGCAAACAGGAUUAGAUACCCGGGUAAU